This 438-nucleotide ribosomal RNA is filed under the name uncultured Finegoldia sp. Its description in RNAcentral is "bacterial SSU rRNA". It matches the Rfam family "Bacterial small subunit ribosomal RNA", at positions 65 to 504 of the family's 1533-position model. Lineage: Bacteria; Bacillati; Bacillota; Tissierellia; Tissierellales; Peptoniphilaceae. The record is from RNAcentral.
AACGGGAUUUAGUAAACAGAAGCCUCGGUGGAAGAUUACUAAUGAGAGUGGCGAACGGGUGAGUAACGCGUGAGCAACCUGCCUAUGACAGUGGGAUAGCCUCGGGAAACCGGGAUUAAUACCGCAUAAAAUCGUAGAAACACAUGUUUCAACGGUCAAAGAUUUAUCGGUCAUAGAUGGGCUCGCGUCUGAUUAGCUAGUUGGUGAGAUAACAGCCCACCAAGGCGACGAUCAGUAGCCGGUCUGAGAGGAUGAACGGCCACAUUGGAACUGAGACACGGUCCAAACUCCUACGGGAGGCAGCAGUGGGGAAUAUUGCACAAUGGGGGAAACCCUGAUGCAGCGACGCCGCGUGAACGAAGAAGGUAUUCGUAUCGUAAAGUUCUGUCCUAUGGGAAGAUAAUGACAGUACCAUAGAAGAAAGCUCCGGCUAAAUAC